Vicia faba (fava bean) is the source of this 261-nucleotide non-coding RNA. The record is from the annotation of a GenBank genome assembly. Lineage: Eukaryota; Viridiplantae; Streptophyta; Magnoliopsida; Fabales; Fabaceae.
AUGUUGGUGUCGGUGUUGGAUACUUAUACUAAUCCUUGUAAUUACGUUCCAUUUAUUCGUUUGUUCUACUCAGACUCUGAUGAUAACGUGUCAGUAUCAGAGUCGUGUUGUGUACCUCUGAAAAAGGCAUCUCUCUGUCAGAAUUGGACAUCGACACCAAUCCUUGUAAUUACAAUCAAUUUAUUUGAUAUUUCAAAUCAUACCGGUGUAUGUCAGUGUUGGUGUCGAUUUGUGUACCAGUGUUUGUGUCAUUCUCAGUAG